This 251-nucleotide ribosomal RNA is filed under the name uncultured bacterium. RNAcentral describes it as "partial 16S ribosomal RNA". It matches the Rfam family "Bacterial small subunit ribosomal RNA", at positions 524 to 776 of the family's 1533-position model. The record is from RNAcentral.
UACGUAGGGUGCAAGCGUUAAUCGGAAUUACUGGGCGUAAAGCGUGCGCAGGCGGCUUUGCAAGACAGAUGUGAAAUCCCCGGGCUUAACCUGGGAACUGCAUUUGUGACUGCAUGGCUGGAGUGCGGCAGAGGGGAUGGAAUUCCGCGUGUAGCAGUGAAAUGCGUAGAUAUGCGGAGGAACACCGAUGGCGAAGGCAAUCCCUGGGCCUGCACUGACGCUCAUGCACGAAAGCGUGGGGAGCAAACAGG